GAACAUAAGAGUUUGAUCCUGGCUCAGAUUGAACGCUGGCGGCAUGCUUUACACAUGCAAGUCGGACGGCAGCACAGAGAAGCUUGCUUCUUGGGUGGCGAGUGG
RNAcentral lists this ribosomal RNA (105 nucleotides) under Neisseria meningitidis. RNAcentral describes it as "partial 16S ribosomal RNA". It matches the Rfam family "Bacterial small subunit ribosomal RNA", at positions 1 to 105 of the family's 1533-position model. Lineage: Bacteria; Pseudomonadati; Pseudomonadota; Betaproteobacteria; Neisseriales; Neisseriaceae. The record is from RNAcentral.